This 417-nucleotide ribosomal RNA is filed under the name uncultured bacterium. RNAcentral describes it as "bacterial SSU rRNA". It matches the Rfam family "Bacterial small subunit ribosomal RNA", at positions 355 to 775 of the family's 1533-position model. The record is from RNAcentral.
UCGAGAAUCUUCGGCAAUGGGCGCAAGCCUGACCGAGCGACGCCGCGUGGAGGACGAAGGCCUUCGGGUUGUAAACUCCUGUCGAGGGGGAGGAAGGCCCUUAACCGGGCUUGACCGAUCCCUGGAGGAAGCACGGGCUAAGUUCGUGCCAGCAGCCGCGGUAAGACGAACCGUGCGAACGUUAUUCGGAAUCACUGGGCUUAAAGCGCGUGUAGGCGGGCCGGCACGUCGGUCGCUGAAAUCCCCCGGCUCAACCGGGGAACGGGCGCCGAUACGACCGGCCUGGAGGGGGGUAGGGGGCGCUGGAACUCACGGUGGAGCGGUGAAAUGCGUUGAGAUCGUGAGGAACGCCCGCGGCGAAAGCGAGCGCCUGGACCCUUUCUGACGCUGAGACGCGAAAGCCAGGGGAGCGAACGG